RNAcentral lists this ribosomal RNA (284 nucleotides) under uncultured prokaryote. Its description in RNAcentral is "partial 16S ribosomal RNA". It matches the Rfam family "Bacterial small subunit ribosomal RNA", at positions 524 to 817 of the family's 1533-position model. The record is from RNAcentral.
UACGUAGGUGGCAAGCGUUAUCCGGAUUUACUGGGUGUAAAGGGCGUGUAGGCGGUUCUGCAAGUCGGGUGUGAAAUUUCCAGGCUUAACCCGGACGGGUCACCCGAAACUGCGGAACUUGAGUACUGGAGAGGAUAGUGGAAUUCCUAGUGUAGCGGUAAAAUGCGUAGAUAUUAGGAGGAACACCAGUUGCGAAGGCGGCUCUCUGGACUGUAACUGACACUGAGGCACGAAAGCGUGGGGAGCAAACAGGAUUAGAUACCCCCGUAGUCCCUGAGCGGGCU